AGCGAACGCUGGCGGCAGGCCUAACACAUGCAAGUCGAACGGAGUCUUCGGACUUAGUGGCGGACGGGUGAGUAACACGUGGGAACGUGCCUUUAGGUUCGGAAUAACUCAGGGAAACUUGUGCUAAUACCGAAUGUGCCCUUCGGGGGAAAGAUUUAUCGCCUUUAGAGCGGCCCGCGUCUGAUUAGCUAGUUGGUGAGGUAAAGGCUCACCAAGGCGACGAUCAGUAGCUGGUCUGAGAGGAUGAUCAGCCACAUUGGGACUGAGACGCGGCCCAAACUCCUACGGGAGGCAGCAGUGGGGAAUCUUGCGCAAUGGGCGAAAGCCUGACGCAGCCAUGCCGCGUGAAUGAUGAAGGUCUUAGGAUUGUAAAAUUCUUUCACCGGGGACGAUAAUGACGGUACCCGGAGAAGAAGCCUCGGCUAACUUCGUGCCAGCCGCCGCCGUAA
This 449-nucleotide ribosomal RNA is filed under the name uncultured bacterium. Its description in RNAcentral is "partial 16S ribosomal RNA". It matches the Rfam family "Bacterial small subunit ribosomal RNA", at positions 29 to 523 of the family's 1533-position model. The record is from RNAcentral.